This is a non-coding RNA of Podarcis lilfordi (Lilford's wall lizard), 6495 nucleotides long. The record is from the annotation of a GenBank genome assembly. NCBI's taxonomy places the organism in Eukaryota, Metazoa, Chordata, Lepidosauria, Squamata, Lacertidae.
CACCAGCAUGAACCUGAAAAUCCCUGUGCGGGUUCAAGGUAUCCUGCCAUGGCGAACUACUAUUGCAUACAUUCAGGAAUUGCAACCAUCGCCUGAUAUCUGCCUUCACCUCACUUGGUAGGCGUACACAAAGGUAAGGGGACCUCAGGCCGCAGGCAGCCUGGCCUAGCGGGAAUGGAAGGGGUGGCCUGGGGCAACCACUCUGCAUGCAAGAUUAAUUAAGUGACCCAGCAAGAUCGGAUCUGAUGAAGCAUCACUUGCUACAGAGGAAGUAUUACAAAAUAACUUCCUUCAAGGCAGACAGCUUCUCCAUAGGCAAGUGGUGUGUUUUAGCAACGAUAUCCAACUGGAUCCCUAAAUAAAAUGGGAAUAUGGGCAAAAAGUAUUGAGCUAUUGCUUGCCAGCUUCCAGCCCCCGCUUGGGCAGGGGGCAUCUUGUGCUGCCAUCAUGAUAUGUAAAUUUACAGGGCCGACGCUGGCCAGAACCCCCAAAGAAGUCCCGACAAAGCUGCCGCCGAGCCAGCUUCCUUUUCAGACACACAGUCUGUGCAAUGCAAAAACACACUCCGUGCAGUGCACACAUACUCCAUGCAAUGCAACUACACUCCUUGCAAUGCAACUACACACUCCGUGCAAUGCACACACAAACCCUCCAUGCAAUGCAACUACACCCUCCGUUCAAUGCAACUACACACUCCGUGCACUGCACACACCCUCCGUUCAAUGCAACUACACACUCCGUUCAAUGCACACACACUCUGUGCAAUGCAACUACACCUUCCGUGCAAUGCACACACACUCCGUGCAAUGCAACUACACACUCCGUGCAAUGCACACACACACACACACACACUCUGUGCAAUGCACCACACCUUCCGUACAAUGCAACAACACACUUCGUGCAAUGCAACAACACACUCCGUGAAAUGCAACUACACCCUCUGUGCAAUGCACUUACACCCUCCGUGCAAUGCACACACCCUCCGUGCAAUGCAACUGCAAAUCUCUCACACAAUGCAAUGCAAUGCAAUGCAAUUGCAGCCCGUGCAGCGCCGUGCCCUGCAACGCACAGAGCAAACUGCAAUGCGGGCACGCAAAGGUGCUUUCUCCCGCUUGCAUAUUGCAAACAUGGUGCCCGUUACUUCCCUCACAGUGAGGGAACCACCAAAAGGACCUAAGUGUCCAGGUAGAGCAAUGGGGGAGCAUGCAGCUGUCCCAUACAGGGACCAAUCCUGCAACCUAGGCAUUACCGGCACUAUGCGCUGACCCAGUGAAACCAAUGCUUCAUGCACCACAUGGGGACACUAUUCAGGCCGGAAAUGCUUCCAGGCCAUCGAAUUCUAGGGCAAAGCCCUAGGAUCACCUGCUAGGCCAGGCAUAAAUGUUUCCAGUGAAAUAGCAGAGUUGAGGUGGCCCACAGCUUGUCCAGGUACCCCUGCUUGCCCUUUUAGAGGGAAGCACCCCUUCAAGAAACCCAAAGUUCUUUUAUCACAAAUGGGCCAAACUACCCAGCAACAGAAUAGCCAAAAAGGAGCAGUUUGUUUUGUUUUGUUAUAACAAUGGCUAAGAGGGGGAUAUGAACCCUGUGUCCCAGGACCUAGUCCUGCACUCUAGCCACUAAGCCACACUGGCUCAUCUCUAAAAUGGCAGUCACCACUAUCAGGGCAAAACAAACCUGAAGAAAAUAAACUUGUUCAGAAACAACAUAGCUCAAGAGAAUACACAGAGUGCUCAUAGUCACUGGAGGCACAGAAAGCCUCUGGCGCCCUCUGUCUGCCUCAGAUAUACAUUAGCAGCAACUGGGCCUGCAAGCAAAAGAUACUUUCUCAGAGAGAGAAUGAGUCACAUGUCACAGAGACUUCACAAUUAAGUGCUACCUGUAGCAGACUUAGGCUUGGAAGUUAUGUGCAGGCCGAAUAGGCCUCCCUGCUUCUGCUCUUGAGAAUCUUAGUCUCAUAGCAAUAUUAAAGGAACUCAAAUUAGUGCUCCCGCCCAAAGCUAGAUUAAAAUUUGGCCAACAGCGCUGCGCACACCCAAAAUAAAGCCAACCUUCGGGGAUACUAUAAACGAAAGUGACUCCCGCUAAGCUGGGAACAGCCCUGAUUAGCCCCACAAUUUCAACAGGAGAAAUGGGGGAAACCUUUUUGCGAAAGAAAGCCCCUAACGGGGGCUCUCUCCCUAUUGGGAAAGGCAAGCCACAGAUACAGGGAGAAUCUUCCCACAGGGCAGGGUAAGGGGUGGGGUGGGAAAUCGAACAGGAAAAGGGGGGAAUUAAAUUAUUUAAGGGACUAGAGAGGAUGAAAAGAAAGGGGAAAUAAAGAAAUAAAGAAAUGUAACCAGACAAUGAGAAGAUUGUCCAAGUGCUCCAUGUGAUCCGAUGCAAAAUGGCCAAGAGGACGCCCAACGUUGGGCUUCCUGUAUUUAAAGACUCUGACCCCUCCUCCAAAUUGGCAACAAUCAAAACGCCCCAGCAACCCAAUUUAACCACUUAAAGGCUUGGGUUCCUCCCAAAAUCUGCCCAGUAACGGCAGGGGGGCUUGUUCCCCCAACCGCAACACGUGCUCUCUGUUAUGGAGAACACGCUAUGUGAAACAGAAAAGGGGUGAAGCAGCAAGGCUGUGCUUGCUGGGUCUUUUUCACACAAUCACCCAAGCCCUGCUCAGGCAUUUGUUUCUUGUAUCCAUGGAGAGGUCACAAGGCAGGCUGAGAAGACUUCAGGCUUACAGGACCUCCCUUGCUUUGUUAGUAGAACCUCAAGGUUCACCAGCUGAAACCAGGUGCAAAACCAGGAGAGUAGAUUAUGAAAGAGCCAUUUGUUUUCAGGAUCAUAAUUGAGCUCUUAGUUCUUCACACAUAAAAAUCAGCUCCCAAUUCCCCCCAGCUCACAGCUCUCUUAAUUUCAGCAGCCUAAUUGAGAAGGGUGAAAGGCCUUUUUGUUGCUUCUGUUAAACAAUUGGGGAGACAGAAACCCUUGCAGAUCUUCAGCAAAUCACCCAGAAUUUUACCAGUUGAUGCUGAUCUGUCUUCUGAAAACUGCUCAGGGGCUGAUACUGUGGCCACUGAAGUGCUAUUUAGGAACAUAAGAAGCUGCCUUAUAGCAGACCAGACCACCCAGCCUGAACCAGGGUUUGAACCCUGAGAUGCACAGCAGAUGCCCUGCUUCUGAGCAAUGGACCUUCCUCUUGGCUAGUUGUUCCUGGUGCUCUUGCUGCCUCCUCCCACUCCCAGCUGACAUUCCUGCAUUGGGCAGGCUGGAGGAGGAUUACAAGCCCAGGUGACCAAACGCAGUUACAGUCCUACCUGCAAACAGGAAGCUUGACCAGAUAAGAAGGGCCUGAACAGAGCUGUCAUGGCCACAGUAUCAGAUCAUGAUGUGCAAAUCAGCGCCACCACAGUCGGGUGCCACAGCUGGAAUGCUCCUGUCAUGCCAAUGGCAUGAGCUGCGAUGCUGCUCCCACACUGAGAGGGGCCUUCUGAUAGAUCUGUUGCCCUGGAUCACACCAGUCAGAAGCACAGAUGGUAUGGACAUCCAAACUUUAAAAUUCCCUCUAGGAAAAAUGCCCCUUAACAGGCUGUGAGCAUUUUGCAGUGGAAGUGUGUUGUGCCCUGUAUUUGUUUAGUUAUUUCAUAAUUUAUAAACCGCUCUACAUUCAAAGAAUAUUAAAGCGGUGUGCAGAAACGGAAUGUAAAACAUAAUGCAGAACAGAAACAGUAUUAAGACAUAGAAACCAGCAAGAAUGAAAAAACUGCAAAAAUGAUUUGGAGGGAGUAGCUAGCACUGCCACCAGAUAUAUACAAGCAGGCAGUGGCCACUAUAAGCCUCUUAUUUUGAAUCCAAGUUCUCCGAAUGACUUUUGGCUCAGCUCUAAGUCUACCUUCCACCUGCAUCCUAAAGCAGUAAAGACUAGCAACAGAUAUAUCCCAUGGGGCCACAUCAUGACACCCCUCGAGUGCAAAGGAUCAAAUGAGUAGUCAAGUGAAGAAACACACACUGGGCUUCUUUGUACAUAUGCCUGGUUAAAUCAUUGACACACACACACAAGCACACACUGCCCAUUCUGUAGCUCUCCAGAGUCUCCAGUUGAAUUUUCCACAGAAUCUGCUAUCCUGUAACUGGUUACCUAGCAAUUGAAGCUGGGACCUGCUUCAUGCCAAUCAUGAGCUCUACCCCUGAGCCUAUGACUCGACCCCAGAGAAUGAUAGUUCCAGCACUGGCCAAGCAUGGAGGUGGAGAGGAGCAGUCACAGACUCCGUCACCUUGUCUCUCUGAAUGGGAAAUGGCCUUCGAAUUGCAAUAUGGCUGCUGGCCAACACCCCACCAUUGUCCGAUGGCAUGGCAGAGCCCCAGACAUAUGGGUGAUCAAACACAAGGUUGAUAGGAUUAAGAGCAAACUUCAAAUAUAGUUAUGGAUGUGAUGUACAGAUAGGCUAUAAUCUUUAACACAGUUAACAGGGCGUGAGGUCCCAUUGAACUUUAGAGGUAUGAUUACAAAUCGUAUAAUGUAAUCAUAGAUGUGCAAUGCCCUAGGUUCAGUCCUUGGCAUCUUCAGGGAAAACAGUGCCAGGCAGCAAGGCAAGGAAGUGCCAUCUUAUUUGGUUUAGGAAACGUGGAUUAUUUUCUGCAGUUGCAACUCUGAGCACACUUACAAGUCAGUCCCAUUUAGGCGUUCUGCUAUUGCAGGUCGCUUUUCUGAACAGGUGGGAGGUUUGAAAAUUAUUGUUCCCAGAUCCAUGUUUGUUAUUACAAACUGUGAAGGGUUUGCAAGUGGGCCAUUGCACUUUGGAUUUGAAUGAGUCAAGGGUAGUUCCCCCAAAGUUCAAAUAAAAAUGUGGGCUUCUGUCUGCAAGUCAAACUCAUGAAGUGGAGGAAAAGGAGAUCAUGGGGGAGGAGCUAGUAGUGAGCUAUGGACAUAAAGCAGGAAUAGGGAAACUCGGCCCUCCAAGUGUUUUGGAACUACAACUCCCAUCAUCCCUGACCACUGGUCCUGUUAGCUAGGAUGGUGGGAGUUGUAGUCCCAAAACAUCUGGAGGUCGGAGUUUGCCUCUGCCUGACAUAAAGCAUUGCAGACUGCUGCACUUCCCCAAGGCUGAGAAAUCAUGGAUAUUAUCUCUCCUGGCUGCUAUUUUAGAGGUGUCUUGUGGCUACUGUUGGCAAUAGGCAAAUUGAUAUAAACAAGGAUAUAUUAGAAAUGUCAAGGACAGGAAAUGCUACACAUGAAGGAAAUGUAAUUGCCUCUACCCAGCAAAGGAAUCCCACAGUUAAAAACAGGCUACUGUGCAGAAGCAGCAGGAGGAAGAUAUGAAUUGGAAUUGUUGUGUAUUCUAUGCCCAAGCGUUGGAAGUGACUGCCUGAUCAUGACUAGUACUGAAUCUGAGCCCAAAUGUGUAUAUCUCAACCCAUUGCAUUUGAUAAAUGUACUAAAUCAUUUUUAAAACAAUCUUCUCUUCAACCACUGACAACGGACCGGGCAGAGUGAGUGUAUUCCCCACUCAGUUUGCAAUGGCAGCCAAAUGGCCCUUUAAUACAAAUUAUAUAUGAUGCCCCAAGAAAUCAUCAAGAGAGGAAGCAUGAAUUACUUCUGUGUCCUUUCUCCAUUAUUCUGGGUUUCAUCCAAGUAUGCAUUUAGAUGUCACCCAGAAGUUUGAAGGGAGGAAACAUGAUUCUUUUUUGUAAGAUGUUCUAUUGCAGCAGUUGAUACCCGGCAUGCUACUCACCAGUAAGUUUUACGAAGCUCAGGGUAUCAUUUGGCCAAGAGAGUUGCAACCCAAUGGACUUAAAUACUGGUCAGCUAGAUUUAGGCCAGGUAAUAGUGAUGAGGAUUGUAUUGUUGUAUAUGUGUACAGUCAGCCAGAUACAUAUAAUACACUAUUAUCAAUGCAAGUGAAAGCUGGUUAAGUAACAGACAGCACAAGAUGUGAAUUAACAAAUUUUCAAAAAUCAAGAACUCGGCCAUCUAAUGUCAAGGAAAGGUUGGCAUUAGGUGACGGGGGGUUCAUAUUUGGUCAGGAAAUCAAGAAUGCUUUUGGCUGCUCCGCUAAAAGAGAACUUCUCUUUUAUCAAAUGUUGCUGUCAACAACAAGCAGGAGGUUAUCUCCCUUGGAAAAACAGCACUUCAAACAAGCUGCUCAGUCGCUGGUAAUGGAACCCAAUAUUUUAUUCAAACCAGCUUUCAAGCUUCUUGUUGCUUAAUGGAGGAAACACUGCUGAGGUCAACAAGUAGUUUGAUACUUGGCAAUAAUAUAUACCCUCUUGUGGCCACCUAAUUAUAUUCCCUGACAUCAGGAGGCAUUUAUCAGUGCAUUAAUUCAAAUGGUGUUUGGGCUAUCAAGAUCUGUUGAUUUUAAGUAUCAUUGACUGAAACCUGAUUAAGGUCUCAACUUUCUUGCCCCUCCAUUUUCCAGGGCUGCAGCUCCCAUCUAUCAGCCCUGACUCCCAUAUGGUACGAAGAGUCACAACAAGUGAUUAGUGAACAUCACAAGCGAACAAACACAAGCG